AUUCCAGCUCCAAUAGCGUAUAUUAAAGUUGUUGCAGUUAAAAAGCUCGUAGUUGGAUUUCUGGCAGGAGUGACUGACCACAAACUCUGUUUGUGAGUUGUGUCAUUCUGGCCAUCCUUGGUAAGAUCCUUUUUGGCAUUAAGUUGUCGGGAAGGGGAUGACCAUCGUUUACUGUGAAAAAAUUAGAGUGUUUAAAGCAGGCUUAUGCCGUUGAAUAUAUUAGCAUGGAAUAAUAAGAUAGGACUUUGAGUCUAUUUUGUUGGUUUGCGAGUCAAAGUAAUGAUUAAUAGGGACAGUUGGGGGUAUUCGUAUUUCAUUGUCAGAGGUGAAAUUCUUGGAUUUCUGAAAGACGAACUACUGCGAAAGCAUUUACCAAGGAUGUUUUCAUUG
Molecule: ribosomal RNA, 390 nt
Filed under: Skeletonema sp.
Lineage: Eukaryota; Bacillariophyta; Thalassiosirophyceae; Thalassiosirales; Thalassiosiraceae
Description: partial small subunit ribosomal RNA
Rfam family: Eukaryotic small subunit ribosomal RNA
Source: RNAcentral